UCGGAGAGUUUGAUCCUGGCUCAGGAUGAACGCUGGCGGCGUGCCUAAUACAUGCAAGUCGAGCGAACUGAUUAGAAGCUUGCUUCUAUGACGUUAGCGGCGGACGGGUGAGUAACACGUGGGCAACCUGCCUGUAAGACUGGGAUAACUCCGGGAAACCGGAGCUAAUACCGGAUAACAUUUUCUCUUGCAUAAGAGAAAAUUGAAAGAUGGUUUCGGCUAUCACUUACAGAUGGGCCCGCGGUGCAUUAGCUAGUUGGUGAGGUAACGGCUCACCAAGGCAACGAUGCAUAGCCGACCUGAGAGGGUGAUCGGCCACACUGGGACUGAGACACGGCCCAGACUCUUACGGGAGGCAGCAGUAGGGAAUCUUCCGCAAUGGACGAAAGUCUGACGGAGCAACGCCGCGUGAGUGAUGAAGGCUUUCGGGUCGUAAAACUCUGUUGUUAGGGAAGAACAAGUACAAGAGUAACUGCUUGUACCUUGACGGUACCUAACCAGAAAGCCACGGCUAACUACGUGCCAGCAGCCGCGGUAAUACGUAGGUGGCAAGCGUUAUCCGGAAUUAUUGGGCGUAAAGCGCGCGCAGGCGGUU
Molecule: ribosomal RNA, 595 nt
Filed under: Priestia flexa
Lineage: Bacteria; Bacillati; Bacillota; Bacilli; Caryophanales; Bacillaceae
Description: bacterial SSU rRNA
Rfam family: Bacterial small subunit ribosomal RNA
Source: RNAcentral